RNAcentral lists this ribosomal RNA (498 nucleotides) under uncultured bacterium. Its description in RNAcentral is "partial 16S ribosomal RNA". It matches the Rfam family "Bacterial small subunit ribosomal RNA", at positions 27 to 507 of the family's 1533-position model. The record is from RNAcentral.
GGAUGAACGCUGGCGGCGUGCCUAAUACAUGCAAGUCGAGCGAAUAGACGAGGAGCUUGCUCCUCUGACGUUAGCGGCGGACGGGUGAGUAACACGUGGAUAACCUACCUAUAAGACUGGGAUAACUUCGGGAAACCGGAGCUAAUACCGGAUAAUAUAUUGAACCGCAUGGUUCAAUAGUGAAAGACGGUUUUGCUGUCACUUAUAGAUGGAUCCGCGCCGCAUUAGCUAGUUGGUAAGGUAACGGCUUACCAAGGCAACGAUGCGUAGCCGACCUGAGAGGGUGAUCGGCCACACUGGAACUGAGCCACGGUCCAGACUCCUACGGGAGGCAGCAGUAGGGAAUCUUCCGCAAUGGGCGAAAGCUUGACGGAGCAACGCCGCGUGAGUGAUGAAGGUCUUCGGAUCGUAAAACUCUGUUAUUAGGGAAGAACAAAUGUGUAAGUAACUAUGCACGUCUUGACGGUACCUAAUCAGAAAGCCACGGCUAACUACGUG